Molecule: ribosomal RNA, 188 nt
Filed under: Caulophyllum thalictroides (blue cohosh)
Lineage: Eukaryota; Viridiplantae; Streptophyta; Magnoliopsida; Ranunculales; Berberidaceae
Also listed under: 10 other names
Description: 4.5S ribosomal RNA
Source: RNAcentral
UGGUUUUUUCAUGUUGUCAAAGAGUUGAACAAUGAAAAUAGAUGGCGAGUGCCUGAUCGAAUUGAUCGGGUCAUGUAGGAACAAGGUUCAAGUCUAUUGGUCUGUUAGGAUGCCUCAGCUGCAUACAUCGCUGCACUUCCACUUGACACCUAUCGUAAUAAUAAACGGCUCGUCUCGCCGUGACCUUC